ACACAAAACUGGAUGACCUGCGC
Molecule: non-coding RNA, 23 nt
Filed under: Arabidopsis thaliana (thale cress)
Lineage: Eukaryota; Viridiplantae; Streptophyta; Magnoliopsida; Brassicales; Brassicaceae
Source: RNAcentral